Molecule: long non-coding RNA, 633 nt
Organism: Anastrepha ludens (Mexican fruit fly)
Lineage: Eukaryota; Metazoa; Arthropoda; Insecta; Diptera; Tephritidae
Exons: 3
Source: RefSeq, a predicted model, not a curated record
GUGCCCAAUUGCGAAGCAGCGAGCUGGACAUAGAUGUUGCUAUUUUAAGCGAGCAGUGUAAAAACAGGGUACUGAAAACGAGAGAUGGCACAUGACGAUACAAGAACUGCCCAAGCCAGAAAUAUAAAUAGCGACCCUCGUAUUCCCAACAUCAAUAUACCAGCAGAUUAUAAUGAAGUUACGUUUCCUCACGGCAACUGGAUUUCCCGGCAUCUUAGAAGUUAUGCAGACUGCGUUCAAGUCGAAUUGAGUAUAUAAGGUGGCGCCAUUAGAAAACAGUUUCUUUAUAUUUCGCGAUUUUGACAAGUUGACGUCAUCUCUUUUCGCAAUACAAAACAAACGCACGAAACAAACAAAAGCAGGAGAUAUUACAUGUUUGUGAAAAUUCAAUGAAUGGCUUGGUAAUAUUGUGAUUUGUGAGAUUUAAACUUAUCAAACUAAUGAACACGAAGUGCCGUGUGUUACAUUGUGAAAGCACAAUGUGAUAUAAAGCCUCCAAAUUCAGUUUGCUUGCGUGUUUAUGCGGAAGACGCCGUGGCAAGAAAGUAUGUGUGUGCGUGUUAAAUAAAUCUUCCCAUUUUUCAAUUCAUGUUUAAAAUUUAAUAAACAUGUUUUUUAUUCCACAUAUUUUCC